Molecule: long non-coding RNA, 1233 nt
Filed under: Carica papaya (papaya)
Lineage: Eukaryota; Viridiplantae; Streptophyta; Magnoliopsida; Brassicales; Caricaceae
Description: long non-coding RNA (CPAP_LNC012338)
Source: RNAcentral
GAUGAUCAAGACUAUUUAUGUUUAUCCCGGAAAUAAAUUUUUCUACGGUAGGGUCACACCGGGCGAUUAAAAGGGCUUCUGACAAGAGCCGGCAAAAGCCAUUGAUUCAUUAAGGAGAUGCAAUGAAAAAGCUAAGCAAAAUAAGUGCUUAUAUUUCCCUGCUUAUUUACUCUCCGCAGCUUUUGGACUCUGCAGAAAUUCCGUUUCUCAUCUCCUUCAGCUUUCACUUCCUACAUCGGACUGAACCACUCAAUAAAUGAGAUUCCUAUGGAAUUUCAACUUUUUAAACAUCAAAAACAAUGUUGCAAAGAAAGUUUAGUCGAGAAAUGAAAGAAAAAUACUCCAUAGAUCAUACUCGUGAUCAUUCUAGUCCUGUCAUGAAAGAAAAAGAUAAAAGAAACAGAGAAUUUUGGAAGGGAGUAGAGAAGUAAUUGAUUUCAACGCCAAGCAAAAGCAUAUACGGAUCCAGGAGUCGGCAGAGAUUACACAUUAGCAAAGGCAUUCGGUUACAUCGCGAUGUACAGAGGAAACUCCUUAGCGAUACAAAAUUAAAGAGGGGAGAGGGGGAGGCAGACGUUACGUACACGUAGGUACGUCGUCGAUGUAUCAGACGGAAGAGAGGGCCAGGUUGGGGUCUUGAGAGGGAGAAACAGCCAAGAGGAGGAGAACGAGCAUGAUCAAAACCGGAACGAUCAGGAGCAGCAAAGGAGGCGGCGGCAAUGGCGGUAACAGGAGAGGUAGUAACAGCAGGGACAAUCCCAGCACGACGAGAACCAUGACAGAUCUGCAACUAAAAUACCUGAUCAUCAAACUCGAAGACGAUCGCAGUGAUGAUGAUGAUGAUGAUGGGGUGGUGGAAUAACAAACGAUCGAGCUCACGAGUCAUCCUCUUCGUCCAUAGCCGUAGCAUCGAAGAGCAGCUUGUAAAGGAACUCAGAACCUUGGAGCUUUAUAAACAGCAAGCUUAUACACAGAUACAUAUACCUGUAUAUGCAUGAGUAUUAUACAUAUAUAUAUAUGAGAAGAAGAAUGAAAACAGAGAGAUUUAGAAUUUGAGAGACGCCUGAGGAGUGAAAUGAACAAGAGAGGGACAAAAAGAGAAGAAUGAAGGCGUUAGUAUUACCGAGCCUAGUCGUUACCGGUCACUUUCAGUGGGCCCACUUCGUAAAUGUCCCGAUUCAACUAACCUCCCUCUGCUUACUACUUCCGGGACCUGUCCCAAGUCCAACUCAG